This 68-nucleotide transfer RNA is filed under the name Dorymyrmex brunneus. RNAcentral describes it as "tRNA-Val". The record is from RNAcentral. Lineage: Eukaryota; Metazoa; Arthropoda; Insecta; Hymenoptera; Formicidae.
AAAAUUUUAGUUUAAUUAUAAAAUAUUUCAUUUACAAUGAGAUGAUUAUUUAUUUUGAUAAGAUUUUA